Pelobates cultripes (western spadefoot toad) is the source of this 1836-nucleotide non-coding RNA. The record is from the annotation of a GenBank genome assembly. NCBI's taxonomy places the organism in Eukaryota, Metazoa, Chordata, Amphibia, Anura, Pelobatidae.
AUUUGACUUCCUUGAUGACAUGUGAUUUAAGUAAUACUCCUCUACAUAUAAAUAGGUGAAGGCACGUAAAGCACUUUAAUCGAAAAAUUCACCUUCGAUUAUCGUGUAUUGCAGUAUAUAGAACGUUUCCAGAGGAACCAUGUCUGGAGUCAAGGGACAGAAGAAAUGCCCAGAUCCAUGCCCAGAUCCAUGCCCAGAUCCUUGCCCACAACCAUGCCCACCACAGAAAUGUCAGGAUCGUAAGUAUCAUUUUACAUCUUCUAAGAAUUUAACAUAUUUCUCAAACCAAGCAUUCUAUCGUAAAGUGUAAUUUAUAUUCCCAUGGUCUACUAUACAUCUGUUAAAUUACAGAUACAUUAUCAAGACAUCUCUAAAUUAGAAUUAGUUAUACAUAUUCCAUAAUUGGCAAUUUCGACAAAUAGAUAUGAAAUAACUAUGAAAUCCAAAAACUGAGUGCAGUUGGUGAUAAUACCUACUGAGUUAUUCAAUAAAUUUUAGUCAAUUAAGUCCAAAUUGCAAAACUGAGGCCGAAUGAACCAAGCUGUAACUAUAACUGUUGGAGAAUUUUAUAAAAUCAGGUAAUUUAGCCACAGUUGAGCAAUUUAGAUUGAUAUCUCUAAAAUUUGGUGUUUUGGAUAUAAACCUGAGGAUGCUGAGUACAAUUGUUGCCUAGGUGGGACAUCCAAGCCAGAACAAUUCCCACAGUAAUGUUUUUAUAGUCCUAUCACAGCACUAGAGUAUAAAUGGCAUUUUAAAGAAAUGAUUUUGUUAAGACAAAAAAAAGCUGUAUUUUUAAAAUCAGAUUCAAUUACAUUUUGACAUACAAUCAUAUACAAUUUAUUCUUAUACUACAAAUUACAACAGGGAAUUAUUAAAACUGCAUAAUAUGAUCAUUUAUACAGAUUUAAGCUCUGAAAUAUAAAAAAACUUAUCUUUUUGAUAUUUUCUGUUGGUAAAUAAUUUCUUUGGAUCUGAAAAUGCAAAAGAAUACUAUAAUUGUAAAAAUACAUUAUAUUAAACAUUUUAAAAUGUCUCUGCAAUAACCUCUUUAUCUGUGUCUUAUUUUACAGCAUGUGACCCAUGCCCUCCUCCACCAUGCCCAGGUAAGCACGUGGCUUAUUGAAAUUACUUCUCCAGUUCCCUAUCUUCCCUAUCUUCUAAUUACAAUCGAUUUCACUUCUAAUUAAAUUAAAAUAGAAUUAAGCAUGCACAGCCAACAGACCAGUAGAAAUCCAAUAUUAAUUAAUAAAUACAUUUUAUAUAAACUAAUACCAUGUUUACUGUAAAGGUGAUUUAGAUCCAAGUCCAUAGGUGGUUUACUUAAUACGAUGAUAAAUUAUUAAUAAUUGUACUUUGAUCUUAUUUUGUCUACUGGAACAAUGCUACAUGUUCACUUAGUUUUAGAAAUGUGUUAAGUGUAGAGCUUACAUUUUUCUUCUUAAGGAAUAAUAUUUGAUCAUUGAUAUUAAUAAUUUGUUUGACGUUUGUAAGGGAUACCUCAGAGGUAGAUAAACCAAUGGAUGAAACAGCAAGCUUACUUUGUCUCCUGAUCAUAAUGUGUCAAUUUCCAUUUUAGAUCCGUGUAAACCAGUUCCACAGCAGUGUCAGCAAGACGUGAAAUGCGUGAAGAAGUAUUAAUAAGAAGAGGCCAUCCGAUGAUGGAAGCUGUCCACUGCUUGACCAAGAUGAUUCCUGUUUACCCCUCACCUUCUUAAUGAGAUUAAUUUAAUUACAGAUUUUACGAUUUCCAUGAUAACAUCUGCAUUUGCUAGUUAAGACGCACUUUAUCCUUACUCACUAUGCCAAUAAAUCAUGAUUAAAAUGCAAUAUCUAAAA